AUUGAACGCUGGCGGCAUGCUUUACACAUGCAAGUCGGACGGCAGCACAGAGAAGCUUGCUUCUUGGGUGGCGAGUGGCGAACGGGUGAGUAAUAUAUCGGAACGUACCGAGUAAUGGGGGAUAACUAAUCGAAAGAUUAGCUAAUACCGCAUAUUCUCUGAGGAGGAAAGCAGGGGACCUUCGGGCCUUGCGUUAUUCGAGCGGCCGAUAUCUGAUUAGCUAGUUGGUGGGGUAAAGGCCUACCAAGGCGACGAUCAGUAGCGGGUCUGAGAGGAUGAUCCGCCACACUGGGACUGAGACACGGCCCAGACUCCUACGGGAGGCAGCAGUGGGGAAUUUUGGACAAUGGGCGCAAGCCUGAUCCAGCCAUGCCGCGUGUCUGAAGAAGGCCUUCGGGUGCGUAAAGGACUUUUGUCAGGGAAGAAAAGGCUGUUGCUAAUAUCGACAGCUGAUGACGGUACCUGAAGAAUAAGCACCGGCUAACUACGUGCCAGCAGCCGCGGUAAUACGUAGGGUGCGAGCGUUAAUCGGAAUUACUGGGCGUAAAGCGAGCGCAGACGGUUACUUAAGCAGGAUGUGAAAUCCCCGGGCUCAACCUGGGAACUGCGUGCUGAACUGGGUGACUAGGAGUGUGUCAGAGGGAGGUAGAAUUCCACGUGUAGCAGUGAAAUGCGUAUAGAUGUGGAGGAAUACCGAUGGCGAAGGCAGCCUCCUGGGAUAACACUGACGUCCAUGCUCGAAAGCGUGGGUAGCAAACAGGAUUAGAUACCCUGGUAGUCCACGCCCUAAACGAUGUCAAUUAGCUGUUGGGCAACUUGAUUGCUUAGUAACGUAACUAACGCGUGAAAUUGACCGCCUGGGGAGUACGGUCGCAAGAUCAAAACUCAAAGGAAUUGACGGGGACCCGCUCUAGCGGUGGAUGAUGUGGAUUAAUCGAUGCAACGCGAGAACCUUACCUGGAUCUGACAUGUACG
This 975-nucleotide ribosomal RNA is filed under the name Neisseria flavescens. Its description in RNAcentral is "bacterial SSU rRNA". It matches the Rfam family "Bacterial small subunit ribosomal RNA", at positions 28 to 992 of the family's 1533-position model. The record is from RNAcentral. Lineage: Bacteria; Pseudomonadati; Pseudomonadota; Betaproteobacteria; Neisseriales; Neisseriaceae.